This is a long non-coding RNA of Crotalus tigris (Tiger rattlesnake), 1093 nucleotides long. RefSeq lists it as uncharacterized. Lineage: Eukaryota; Metazoa; Chordata; Lepidosauria; Squamata; Viperidae. The record is from RefSeq and is a predicted model, not a curated record. The transcript is spliced from 3 exons.
GGGUGAACUCAUCUUGCUUGUCCUCUGAUCUCAAUGCCCCAGUUUUGGAGUGUCAGGAGCAUGUGAACCCUGUGGCAGAGCAGUUAGAGAGGAGAGAGAAGGAGCAGUCUCAUGUUUUGGGACUCUGGAUCUUUGAAAAAUCUCUGAUAUAUGUGUUGAUCAAGAUGAACCCUACUUAGCUUCCAUGUCCAGAGAAAGUCAGCCAAGUAUUACCAUCUGCUGAAGAUUCCCAAAUAUAGAGGUAUGGAAAGUUACUAAAGGAGUCACACAAAGCCAAUUGGCAAGGCUGCUUUAGGAUCCAAUGAAGCAAAUUCAAAAAUAUGUCCUUUGUGUUUGGUGCUAUGCAUUUUAAAGGACCAACUACAAAGUAUUUGUUUAGAGUAGCAAUAAAAAUAUAAAAUAAUGUUUAAUUAAGGAAAUAUCAAUGACUGGACUAAACUAUUAGUAUGGCAUAAAAUGCUGGCAAAUAAGUGAGCAUUCAGCUAAAACGAUUCAAUCAAUUUUAGCAACAGAUUAACAUUAAAGAAAAAAUGAAAGUCAAUUUUGUAACACAUACCUGCAAACUUGACUGUUAUGUGGCUGCCUUUGUUAAGCACAGAAUUUUAAUUGAAAUGAAACCAGUUUUGUUUUGAAAAAUGCAGAAAGGAUAUUUGUUAUUACAUAUGAAAUAUAAUUUAUAUGGUUCUUUCUAAAUAUUUCUAUCUUCGCCCCAAUAGUAUAAGGGAGUCCUUUUCUUUGUCUUGUGUCUAGUUGUGUUAACUAAGUGUUCUCAGCUACUAUGUUAUUUUAUAUUAUUUCACUGUUUUGUAAAUCUUUAAAAUUAGUUUUACUCUUAUUCUGUUUUUAACUGUUAGCCACCCAAUCAUGCAUAUGAGAUGGGCAGCCAUAUAAAUUUAUAAAAGAAAUAAUGUAUAUUAUUUGUUACAUAUCUUGUCAUUCAUUCCUUCUCUUUUGUCUAUAAAACUAAAAAUAACUGGCAAUAUUUAUUAUAUCGUCAAAAGCCAAAGUAGCACACUCAUUUAUAUAUUAUUUAUUUCUAUAUUAUAUUUAAAUAUUAAUUUUAUACAUGACACUUUAUGUAUUUCCAGAAUAA